UGACUUUUACCGGUCUGGCCCUGUUAGCGCUGCGCUAGCGUGUUUUUGCCGUUUCGCAGUGAUUUUUACCAGUAUGUUUUUUUUUUAACCGGCCCUAUUAGCGCGGUUCUACAGUUAGCGUUAGCACGGCGCUAGCAUUAGCGUUAGCGUUAGACUCUCUGUGUACUGUCUUUCGAUGUAAAUACCUUGUGUUUCAAUGUGGCCACUUGUGGCUUUUACACAGCUGCGGCGUACGUAUGUACCAAAUGGUAUUUCCUCUACAAAUGUACUGGGUGAGGCUUCUAACCAGGUGCGCUCUGUAGGCCGGGACUUUCGCUAAAUCUAACUGUCAGUCCUGUCAUACUUGAACAUGGCCACAUGCUCUCUUUUUUUCUGAUCAAUUUCCAAGAUGAGCUUUAGCCACCAGAUUGCUUGACAGAUUAUACAAAAACCAAUUGUGAGAAUUUCUCUGUGUGCAAGACUAAAACAAAAAAGUUGUUUAAAAUGAAAAGGAUAUUCAUAUAUUUAAUUCUGUAUGGAAAAUAUUGGUACAUUUAGGGUAAAAAAAUGAAGAUUGUCCGUCCUUCUUCCACUGAGAGGACACAAUUGUGGAGCGUGUGGGAAUUUUUGUCCAUUCAUUCAAAAGGUCAAAGGUCACCGAGCUCGCACAAGAGGGCCUGGCACACCCGUCUCUGGUUCUCCGUGUCGGACCGGUCAAGUUUUCCCCAGCCAAAGUGAUCCGAGCAUGCGCCGUAUGUAUUUCGGAAAGGGAGGACCUUCCGCAAAUUCUCGCCGCAACGUUGGAAGCGUAGAAUAGUCAAACACUCUUGUCAUAUGAAGAAAAGGGAUUCGAGGGAAACCACGUGGCCGAGCGCAGCCCUUCAAUUGCGUUUUUUUGUUCCAGACAAGGCCGUCCUUGUGCCUUCCGUUUCACGCCGUUUUGUAUGGACCGCGGCUCUCGCGGCUUCAGCUCGUCACACAACGACGCCGAUACGGAAUGUACAGUAUUGGCGACGGUUACAGUAAGCGCAAUAUCAUGAGCGGGACUUAAAGUGAAUGAAUCGGCGCGGCUAAAUUUGUCCCUUAUAGCAGAUUUGGCGUCGCCUUUAAUCAGCGCGACGCUGACGCUCUCGUCCAAACAAGAUGUUCCAAAACAUCUUUGCUUUAUUUAGUCCAAAUGCUUUAUUACUGCUUAUUCCGCGCUCACCUCACAGCCCCCGCAUGUCCGACUAAAGCCUCCCUCGCCGCGUUACGUCUGUUUACCCUUGUUUUGUGUUGUCUUGGCAUGUCCAAUCGCUUCUUAGCUUUCAUCAAGCGGGGCUUUCUGACCCGCGUGAUUUCGAUUCGCCGGCGUGGCUAACACGGGCAAUUUUCGCAUUGCCACAUCCUGUUUCAAUUUGUCGACGGCAAAGUGGGGAGCGGAGGGCGCAAACGCCAUGUAUGUCGACCGUAUCGCAGGAUAAAUAAAUUAUACAUAUUUAACUUUUAUAGCUGGAAACAAUUUAAGGUUUUUUGUUGUUGUUUCUGAUGCAAGUUUAGGUUUCAAGUAACUCAUCAUAUUUUGUUCAUUAUCCACAAGAAGCCUUUCUGACCUGUUUUCCGGCUUUGGUCGGUCACGUGGGGUUCACUAUGUAAAAGAUUAAAAUGAAAUUAGCGCUAUUAGAUGGCGGCACGGCACCACGGUGGAUCAUCUGGUAAAGCGUUGGCCUCACAGUUCUGAGGUCCCUGAGGCCCGCACACAGGCGAGUCCGGGAUUGAACCCGGUACCUCAGAACUGCUUUUCCAGCUGAUCCACCGUGCUGCCGCUUUAUAUUAUUUUGUUUAAAAAAUGGAAUCCAACCAGCACUUCAUUGAUUAUAUUUCCAUUUGUUUCUAAAGCAUACAACAGGCAGCUUUAAGCUGUUUUAAAAUACUUUUGUUCAAGUGUACUAAGUUUGAUCAAUCGAAGAAACAAAGUACGUGGUUGAAAGUGACCGCCUUAUGCGCAAAAUUAUAUAUACUGUAUACAUGGAAAAAAUUGCAACCUUCAAAGUAUUUUGAACACUUUCAAAAAUACAUUCUACAUUAUUUCAAACGAUUUGUAAGGCUGCACUUGAAGGCCUUGGAUGCUGAGUUUGUCCUCCGGAUAGUCUGUGCAACAGUGCGGAUUGCGAAGCUCCGUCAUGCGCUGUUUGGAGGAGGAGAUUCGGAUUCGGGCGUAAAUCUGAAGCUAUUAGCUCUAAUUCGUGAGUUUACUAGUUGCUUGGACAAGGCAGGCAAGCAAACUAAGGCCUCGAGCUCCAGCCUAUGAGCAAAGCAACAUUGUGAGCGAAUUAAAAAAAAAAAAAAUCGAUUCUUCCCUCAACAUAGCAACUCGCUCCGGAUUGGUUGGCAAGCUUCGCGUUCUCGGUCUCUCAUUGGCCUGAACGCGAAGGAAUCGGACGGAGACACAGAGGAGGAGUGACGUGAUUGGACGCGGCCGCGCUGAAUGCCUCAAGCUAUUUUCCCGAAAGCCUGGAAGUCAGUUCAUGGUCCCUCUAGUCCAACAUUCAAAGGUGUGACAAAUAAAAGUAAUUCGUCUCAUUGCUGCCUUGUUUUCAGACUUGUUUAGAUGCAGAACUUCAGUGCACGGCUGAGUCGUGUGCGUGCGUGCGUGCGUGCUGACGAAUGAAAGUGGAAAUGAAAAUGAAGACUGAAGGAAACGCAGAGGAUGUGUGUAUUAUUUUGGAGAGGAAAAGGCGUGGAGCUGGGAUUUUACUUCAGAGGGAAGGGAGGGAGCUUGGGGAAGAAGAGAAAAAAAAAAAAGAGAUUGAGUUAGUCAAAGUGCUGUGUCGGCAAGUUACUUUGGGAGGGAGUCAGCUUUGGUGGAAGAUUUCAGCUUUUAGGAAACGUUCGAGGGCCCAAAGUAACCGCCCCUCAACGAGGGGCUGACUCAGUGCUGUUCCAGGGCGUCCCCCCUCCCCUAGUGUUCGAGAAGGAAGGUCCGAGCGGUCCUGGUAACGGGACCUUUGCUGACACAGACUGUCCGCGGUACGUUGUCCUGUGGCUUCUCUCUGCGCUGACCCCGGGACGAAGCUGAGUGGAAUACAAUGGGUGCACAAGUUAAGAAACGUUCGAUCAACCUUGGUGUUGUGAUUGCAAUUAUAUUCUAACGCAAAGAAUUUCACCAAGCGUGGCUGUCCGAAAAAAAAAAAAAAAAGAGAGUAGCACAAGACUGAGUAAAAUGACAAAACCCUCAUCAGUUUAUUGUCUUUCAGCAAGAAAAAGGUCAGGAUCUCACAUUGCUCAGCUUCACUCAUUUCCGCCAUCAUUUGGAGGUUGUUUUUUUACUAUAUGAGGCCAAAUAGACCUCAUCCAGAGUAGGAACCUCAGAAAUACAUUUUAGUUUCUGUUGUUCCCAAACUUGGCGGAAUUUGUGCCCGCUUAAAGACGGAUUCCUUGCGCUGUUACUCACGGAGGCUGCGUGUCAUGUAAGACAUUCAUAGCUGGAGCAAUGCCACAAUUCAAGUAAUGGAGGCAGGAUACUUCCGGACACCCCGCCGUUCAAAUCGGACGCCAUAUCUUACCGACACCACCAAAGAGUGCAUUUUCUUUUUGUGGUGCGCGUCAACCAUUCACCACGGCGUAACCUUCACACAUUGCAACAAUAGAAAUACUGUUGGAUUGCACUUUCUUCAAGCUCUCAUCUUGUGGCAUGUUUGUAGAAAAAAAUAGAGAAUACAAAAAGCUUAUACUUUGAGUAACAGAAUAUAACAUACAGUACUUCGGAUUAUGUUUUCAUCAGCAGGUGUAGAUAAAUUGCCAUUAGCUUGCCCAAUUGCGUGGAACGGGCAAAACAGGGGAUGUCAUUUUGCUCUCUAUCAAGUGCUUUGGUCAAUGGGUAUAACAUUGAGUAUGUUUUUUUUUUUUUUUUUAAAUAAUAGUUUCCUACAGGAUGUUAAUGCUACAUAACUAUGAACGGGGGGGGGCAAAUUGUCAAGAUGCACCACAAUUUUUCACAAA
Long non-coding RNA from Syngnathoides biaculeatus (alligator pipefish), 3960 nucleotides. RefSeq lists it as uncharacterized. The record is from RefSeq and is a predicted model, not a curated record. NCBI's taxonomy places the organism in Eukaryota, Metazoa, Chordata, Actinopteri, Syngnathiformes, Syngnathidae. The transcript is spliced from 3 exons.